UAUUGGAAGCUUGCUUCCGAUAGGCGUCGACCGGCGCACGGGUGAGUAACGCGUAUCCAACCUGCCCAUCACUUGGGGAUAACCUUGCGAAAGUAAGACUAAUACCCAAUGAUAUCUCUAGAAGACAUCUGAAAGAGAUUAAAGAUUUAUCGGUGAUGGAUGGGGAUGCGUCUGAUUAGCUUGUUGGCGGGGUAACGGCCUACCAAAGCAACGAUCAGUAGCCGGCUUGAGAGAGUGAACGGCCACAUUGGGACUGAGACACGGCCCAAACUCC
Molecule: ribosomal RNA, 274 nt
Filed under: uncultured bacterium
Lineage: Bacteria
Description: partial 16S ribosomal RNA
Rfam family: Bacterial small subunit ribosomal RNA
Source: RNAcentral